CACUCUGCAAACACGAAAGUGGACGUAUAGGGUGUGACGCCUGCCCGGUGCCGGAAGGUUAAUUGAUGGGGUUAGCGUAUGCGAAGCUCUUGAUCGAAGCCCCGGUAAACGGCGGCCGUAACUAUAACGGUCCUAAGGUAGCGAAAUUCCUUGUCGGGUAAGUUCCGACCUGCACGAAUGGCGUAACGAUGGCCACGCUGUCUCCACCCGAGACUCAGUGAAAUUGAAAUCGCUGUUAAGAUGCAGCGUAUCCGCGGCUAGACGGAAAGACCCCGUGAACCUUUACUGCAGCUUCACACUGGACUUUGAUCUUAUUUGUGUAGGAUAGGUGGGAGACUUUGAAGCGUUAACGCCAGUUAGCGUGGAGUCAACCUUGAAAUACCACCCUGAUAAGAUUGAGGUUCUAACUUAGACCCGUGAUCCGGGUUGAGGACCGUGUGUGGUGGGUAGUUUGACUGGGGCGGUCUCCUCCCAAAGUGUAACGGAGGAGCACGAAGGUACCCUCAGCAUGGUCGGACAUCAUGCAAUGAGUGCAAUAGCAUAAGGGUGCUUGACUGCGAGACAGACAAGUCGAGCAGGUACGAAAGUAGGUUAUAGUGAUCCGGUGGUUCUGUAUGGAAGGGCCAUCGCUCAACGGAUAAAAGGUACUCCGGGGAUAACAGGCUGAUACCGCCCAAGAGUUCACAUCGACGGCGGUGUUUGGCACCUCGAUGUCGGCUCAUCACAUCCUGGGGCUGAAGUUGGUCCCAAGGGUAUGGCUGUUCGCCAUUUAAAGUGGUACGCGAGCUGGGUUUAGAACGUCGUGAGACAGUUCGGUCCCUAUCUGCCGUGGACGUUUGAGAAUUGAGAGGAGCUGCUCCUAGUACGAGAGGACCGGAGUGGACGAACCGCUGGUGUUCGGGUUGUGAUGCCAAUUGCAUUGCCCGGUAGCUACGUUCGGACGGGAUAACCGCUGAAAGCAUCUAAGCGGGAAGCCCCCCUCAAGAUAAGUUCUCACUGGACGUUAAGUCCCUAAAGAGCCGUUGAAGACUACGACGUUGAUAGGCUGGGUGUGUAAGCGUUGUGAGGCGUUGAGCUAACCAGUACUAAUUGCUCGUGAGGCUUGACCAU
This 1110-nucleotide ribosomal RNA is filed under the name marine metagenome. RNAcentral describes it as "bacterial LSU rRNA". It matches the Rfam family "Bacterial large subunit ribosomal RNA", at positions 1819 to 2925 of the family's 2925-position model. The record is from RNAcentral.